CCUACGGGUGGCAGCAGUGGGGGAUAUUGCACAAUGGGGGAAACCCUGAUGCAGCGACGCCGCGUGAGUGAAGAAGUAUUUCGGUAUGUAAAGCUCUAUCAGCAGGGAAGAAAAAAGACGGUACCUGACUAAGAAGCCCCGUCUAACUACGUGCCAGCAGCCGCGGUAAUACGCCGGGGGCAGACGUUAUCCGGAUGUACUGGGUGUAAAGGGAGGGUAGAGGGCAAUACAAGUCGGAAGGGAAAUACUCGGGCUCAACCUGGGAACUGCUUUGGAAACUGGAUGGUUGGAGUGCUGGAGAGGUAGGCGGAAUGCGUAGUGUAGCGGUGAAAUGCGUAGAUAUUAGGAGGAACACCAGUGGCGAAGGCGGCUUACUGGACAGUAACUGACGUUGAGGCUCGAAAGCGUGGGGAGCAAACAGGAUUAGAUACCCUGGUAGUC
This 441-nucleotide ribosomal RNA is filed under the name uncultured bacterium. Its description in RNAcentral is "partial 16S ribosomal RNA". It matches the Rfam family "Bacterial small subunit ribosomal RNA", at positions 338 to 795 of the family's 1533-position model. The record is from RNAcentral.